This 253-nucleotide ribosomal RNA is filed under the name uncultured bacterium. RNAcentral describes it as "partial 16S ribosomal RNA". It matches the Rfam family "Bacterial small subunit ribosomal RNA", at positions 524 to 776 of the family's 1533-position model. The record is from RNAcentral.
UACGAGGGGGGCAAGCGUUGUUCGGAAUUAUUGGGCGUAAAGGGCGCGUAGGCGGUGCGGUAAGUCACCUGUGAAACCUCUAGGCUUAACCUAGAGCCUGCAGGCGAAACUGCCGUGCUGGAGUGUGGGAGAGGUGCGUGGAAUUCCUGGUGUAGCGGUGAAAUGCGUAGAUAUCAGGAGGAACACCUGUGGCGAAAGCGGCGCACUGGACCACAACUGACGCUGAGGCGCGAAAGCUAGGGGAGCAAACGGG